This 2413-nucleotide ribosomal RNA is filed under the name Vibrio parahaemolyticus. RNAcentral describes it as "bacterial LSU rRNA". It matches the Rfam family "Bacterial large subunit ribosomal RNA", at positions 546 to 2925 of the family's 2925-position model. Lineage: Bacteria; Pseudomonadati; Pseudomonadota; Gammaproteobacteria; Vibrionales; Vibrionaceae. The record is from RNAcentral.
GAACCUGAAACCGUGUACGUACAAGCAGUAGGAGCACCUUCGUGGUGUGACUGCGUACCUUUUGUAUAAUGGGUCAGCGACUUAUAUUCAGUGGCAAGGUUAACCAUCUAGGGGAGCCGUAGGGAAACCGAGUCUUAACUGGGCGUUCAGUCUCUGGAUAUAGACCCGAAACCAGGUGAUCUAGCCAUGGGCAGGUUGAAGGUUGAGUAACAUCAACUGGAGGACCGAACCGACUAAUGUUGAAAAAUUAGCGGAUGACUUGUGGCUAGGGGUGAAAGGCCAAUCAAACCUGGAGAUAGCUGGUUCUCCCCGAAAGCUAUUUAGGUAGCGCCUCGGACGAAUACUACUGGGGGUAGAGCACUGUUAAGGCUAGGGGGUCAUCCCGACUUACCAACCCUUUGCAAACUCCGAAUACCAGUAAGUACUAUCCGGGAGACACACGGCGGGUGCUAACGUCCGUCGUGGAGAGGGAAACAACCCAGACCGCCAGCUAAGGUCCCAAAUUACUACUAAGUGGGAAACGAUGUGGGAAGGCUCAGACAGCCAGGAUGUUGGCUUAGAAGCAGCCAUCAUUUAAAGAAAGCGUAAUAGCUCACUGGUCGAGUCGGCCUGCGCGGAAGAUGUAACGGGGCUAAGUAGUAAACCGAAGCUGCGGCAAUAUACUUUUGUAUAUUGGGUAGGGGAGCGUUCUGUAAGCGGUUGAAGGUGUGUGGUAACGCAUGCUGGACGUAUCAGAAGUGCGAAUGCUGACAUGAGUAACGAUAAAGGGGGUGAAAAACCUCCUCGCCGGAAGACCAAGGGUUCCUGUCCAACGUUAAUCGGGGCAGGGUAAGUCGACCCCUAAGGCGAGGCCGAAAGGCGUAGUCGAUGGGAAACGGGUUAAUAUUCCCGUACUUCUUACAAUUGCGAUGGGGGGACGGAGAAGGCUAGGUGGGCCUGGCGACGGUUGUCCAGGUUCAAGUGCGUAGGCUUAAGAGUUAGGUAAAUCCGGCUCUUUUUAAGGCUGAGACACGACGUCGAGCACCUACGGGUGUGAAGUCAUUGAUGCCAUGCUUCCAGGAAAAGCCUCUAAGCUUCAGAUUGUAAGGAAUCGUACCCCAAACCGACACAGGUGGUCGGGUAGAGAAUACCAAGGCGCUUGAGAGAACUCGGGUGAAGGAACUAGGCAAAAUGGUACCGUAACUUCGGGAGAAGGUACGCUCUUGAUGGUGAAGUCCCUUGCGGAUGGAGCUGACGAGAGUCGCAGAUACCAGGUGGCUGCAACUGUUUAUUAAAAACACAGCACUGUGCAAAAUCGUAAGAUGACGUAUACGGUGUGACGCCUGCCCGGUGCCGGAAGGUUAAUUGAUGGGGUUAGACUUCGGUCGAAGCUCUUGAUCGAAGCCCCGGUAAACGGCGGCCGUAACUAUAACGGUCCUAAGGUAGCGAAAUUCCUUGUCGGGUAAGUUCCGACCUGCACGAAUGGCGUAAUGAUGGCCACGCUGUCUCCACCCGAGACUCAGUGAAAUUGAAAUCGCUGUGAAGAUGCAGUGUACCCGCGGCUAGACGGAAAGACCCCGUGAACCUUUACUACAGCUUGGCACUGAACAUUGACCCUACAUGUGUAGGAUAGGUGGGAGGCUUUGAAGCACGUACGCCAGUAUGUGUGGAGCCGUCCUUGAAAUACCACCCUUGUAGUGUUGAUGUUCUAACGUGACCCCUUAUCGGGGUUGCGGACAGUGCCUGGUGGGUAGUUUGACUGGGGCGGUCUCCUCCCAAAGAGUAACGGAGGAGCACGAAGGUGGGCUAAUCACGGUUGGACAUCGUGAGGUUAGUGCAAUGGCAUAAGCCCGCUUGACUGCGAGAAUGACAAUUCGAGCAGGUGCGAAAGCAGGUCAUAGUGAUCCGGUGGUUCUGAAUGGAAGGGCCAUCGCUCAACGGAUAAAAGGUACUCCGGGGAUAACAGGCUGAUACCGCCCAAGAGUUCAUAUCGACGGCGGUGUUUGGCACCUCGAUGUCGGCUCAUCACAUCCUGGGGCUGAAGUCGGUCCCAAGGGUAUGGCUGUUCGCCAUUUAAAGUGGUACGCGAGCUGGGUUUAGAACGUCGUGAGACAGUUCGGUCCCUAUCUGCCGUGGGCGUUGGAAGAUUGAAGGGGGCUGCUCCUAGUACGAGAGGACCGGAGUGGACGAACCUCUGGUGUUCGGGUUGUGUCGCCAGACGCAUUGCCCGGUAGCUAAGUUCGGAAUCGAUAACCGCUGAAAGCAUCUAAGCGGGAAGCGAGCCCUGAGAUGAGUCUUCCCUGAUACUUUAAGUAUCCUAAAGGGUUGUCGGAGACUACGACGUUGAUAGGUCAGGUGUGUAAGUGCUGUGAGGCAUUGAGCUAACUGAUACUAAUUGCCCGUGAGGCUUAACCAUACAACACCCAAGGGGUUU